CUUGCUUCUCUUGAGAGCGGCGGACGGGUGAGUAAUGCCUAGGAAUCUGCCUGGUAGUGGGGGAUAACGUUCGGAAACGGACGCUAAUACCGCAUACGUCCUACGGGAGAAAGCAGGGGACCUUCGGGCCUUGCGCUAUCAGAUGAGCCUAGGUCGGAUUAGCUAGUUGGUGGGGUAAUGGCUCACCAAGGCGACGAUCCGUAACUGGUCUGAGAGGGUGAUCAGUCACACUGGAACUGAGACACGGUCCAGACUCCUACGGGAGGCAGCAGUGGGGAAUAUUGGACAAUGGGCGAAAGCCUGAUCCAGCCAUGCCGCGUGUGUGAAGAAGGUCUUCGGAUUGUAAAGCACUUUAAGUUGGGAGGAAGGGUUGUAGAUUAAUACUCUGCAAUUUUGACGUUACCGACAGAAUAAGCACCGGCUAACUCUGUGCCAGCAGCCGCGGUAAUACAGAGGGUGCAAGCGUUUAAUCGGAAUUA
RNAcentral lists this ribosomal RNA (479 nucleotides) under uncultured bacterium. Its description in RNAcentral is "bacterial SSU rRNA". It matches the Rfam family "Bacterial small subunit ribosomal RNA", at positions 79 to 553 of the family's 1533-position model. The record is from RNAcentral.